Molecule: ribosomal RNA, 249 nt
Filed under: uncultured Lactobacillus sp.
Lineage: Bacteria; Bacillati; Bacillota; Bacilli; Lactobacillales; Lactobacillaceae
Description: partial 16S ribosomal RNA
Rfam family: Bacterial small subunit ribosomal RNA
Source: RNAcentral
CACGUGGGCAACCUGCCCUGAAGCGGGGGAUAACAUCUGGAAACAGGUGCUAAUACCGCAUAACAACGGAAACCACAUGGCUUUCGUUUCAAAGAUGGCUUCGGCUAUCACUUCAGGAUGGGCCCGCGGUGCAUUAGCUAGUUGGUAAGGUAACGGCUUACCAAGGCGAUGAUGCAUAGCCGAGUUGAGAGACUGAUCGGCCACAAUGGAACUGAGACACGGUCCAUACUCCUACGGGAGGCAGCAGCA